RNAcentral lists this small RNA (28 nucleotides) under Bombyx mori (domestic silkworm). RNAcentral's name for it is "ovarian small RNA-32697". The record is from RNAcentral. Lineage: Eukaryota; Metazoa; Arthropoda; Insecta; Lepidoptera; Bombycidae.
UGAUCGGGACCUCCGACGUUUGGAAGCA